RNAcentral lists this long non-coding RNA (348 nucleotides) under Capsella rubella. RNAcentral's name for it is "long non-coding RNA (CRUB_LNC001489)". The record is from RNAcentral. Lineage: Eukaryota; Viridiplantae; Streptophyta; Magnoliopsida; Brassicales; Brassicaceae.
AGCUCAGAGAUUCUUCAGACCACCAUGUUUACACAACAGUAAGUUUUAAAACAUUUUUGAUUCUUUCCUUCUCUCCUUCUGUAGAAGAAACAAAAUGGAACAUAACAGAACUAAACAUUGGUUGCCAGGUACGUAGAACAUGUACUGGAAACAGAAAGGGAGAACAUGAGAUGCUGUAAGAUAGAGUACAAAUACACAGUUGGAGUAAAGUCUUAUCAGACGUUGGUGUACGGAGGAAUACUUGUGGCUGGUUUCCUCGUUUAUUUCCUUGUCAUUUUCUUCUCUUCUCCUCCUUCUCGCUAACCUCUUUUCACUCUUUUUUUUUUUUGACGGUCUCAUAGAUUUUGU